Mycena metata is the source of this 98-nucleotide non-coding RNA. NCBI's taxonomy places the organism in Eukaryota, Fungi, Basidiomycota, Agaricomycetes, Agaricales, Mycenaceae. The record is from the annotation of a GenBank genome assembly.
GGCCGUCUAGCUCAGUUGGUUAGAGCGUCGUGCUAAUACGCUUACGUAACUGUAAACGGGUGACGCGAAGGUCUUGGGUUCGACCCCCACGAUGGCCA